GCCGGGGUGAUGAAAUUGGUAGACAUGCUGGUCUUAGAAACCAGUGCUUAAUCGCAUAAGAGUUCGAGUCUCUUCCUCGGCACCA
This 85-nucleotide transfer RNA is filed under the name Candidatus Peribacteria bacterium. Its description in RNAcentral is "tRNA-Leu". It matches the Rfam family "tRNA". Rfam says of the family: Transfer RNA (tRNA) molecules are approximately 80 nucleotides in length. Lineage: Bacteria; Candidatus Peregrinibacteriota; Candidatus Peribacteria. The record is from RNAcentral.